AAAGAUUAAGCCAUGCAGGUCUAAGUACAGGCCCUAUACGGCGAAACUGCGAAUGGCUCAUUAAAUCAGUUAUGGUUCCUUAGACAUACCACAUCCACUUGGACAACUGUGGAAAAUCUAGAGCUAAUACAUGCGACAAAGCUCCGACCUCCGGGGAAGAGCGCAUUUGUUAGUACAAAACCAACCCGGGUUCGCGCCCGGCCAUCUUGGUGACUCUGAACAACCUUGGGCUGAUCGCACGGCCUCGCGCCGGCGACGCAUCUUUCAAAUGUCUGCCCUAUCAACUGUCGAUGGUACGUGCUAUGCGUACCAUGGUUCUCACGGGUAACGGGGAAUCAGGGUUCGAUUCCGGAGAGGGAGCCUGAGAAACGGCUACCACAUCCAAGGAAGGCAGCAGGCACGCAAAUUACCCAAUGCCGACACGGCGAGGUAGUGACGAAAAAUAACAAUACGGGUCUCUUUCGAGGCCCCGUAAUUGGAAUGAGUACACUCUAAAUCCUUUAACGAGGAUCUAUUGGAGGGCAAGUCUGGUGCCAGCAGCCGCGGUAAUUCCAGCUCCAAUAGCGUAUAUUAAAGUUGCUGCGUUUAAAAAGCUCGUAGUUGGAUCUCGGUUCCAGGCCUGCGGUCCGCCUCGAGGCGGAUACUGCUCGUCCUGCGUUCGACGUCGUGGUGGUCCCUUGGUGCUCUUGACUGAGUGUCUCGGGCGGUCCCGAACGUUUACUUUGAAAAAAUUAGAGUGCUCAAAGCAGGCGUAUCGCCUGAAUAAUUCCGCAUGGAAUAAUGGAAUAGGACCUCGGUUCCAGUUUCGUUGGUUUGCGAAUCCUUGAGGUAAUGAUUAAUAGGGACUGCCGGGGGCAUACGUAUUGCGGCGGGAGAGGUGAAAUUCGUGGAUCGCCGCAAGACGAACGACAGCGAAAGCAUUUGCCAAGAAUGUUCUCAUUAAUCAAGAACGAAAGUCAGAGGUUCGAAGACGAUCAGAUACCGUCGUAGUUCUGACCCUAAACGAUGCCGACCGUCGAUCCGCCGGAGUUACUACCAUGACUCGGCGGGAAGCCUCCGGGAAACCAAAGUCUUUKGGUUCCGGG
RNAcentral lists this ribosomal RNA (1085 nucleotides) under Abra tenuis. RNAcentral's name for it is "SSU rRNA". Lineage: Eukaryota; Metazoa; Mollusca; Bivalvia; Cardiida; Semelidae. The record is from RNAcentral.